This is a long non-coding RNA of Oryzias melastigma (Indian medaka), 396 nucleotides long. RefSeq lists it as uncharacterized. The transcript has 2 exons. The record is from RefSeq and is a predicted model, not a curated record. Lineage: Eukaryota; Metazoa; Chordata; Actinopteri; Beloniformes; Adrianichthyidae.
AGCUCCACCUCCGCAAGGCUGUCUGGGUUCAGAUGAUCCUCUGUGGGGGGGGUUGAAGGUGGAGCAGCAUGAAGAAGCUUGGACUCACAGACCACACCCCCCAUGGCUAAAAGAGGAGACGAGAGGAGCAGGAGCAUCUUCAGUGGAUCUGACCUCCGGAGCUGCAGAGUCAUCAAAGAUGGCCAGGAUGGAGCGAUCCACACCGGAGGAGGUGUCUGCAGCCUCCACAUCUCCUCCACCCAGGACCGCCUGCACACAUGAAGGGAGGAGCGGUCAGCUGUCUGAGCCCGAGCAUUCAUAAGCAAACAUCAGCGUGCUCCACGCUCAUCAAGAUAGAAAUACGUCAACUUCAGAGGUUUGACAAAAGGAUAAAUAAAAUAACUUAGUUUAAUCUGA